RNAcentral lists this long non-coding RNA (1050 nucleotides) under Homo sapiens (human). RNAcentral describes it as "HSALNT0304430". The record is from RNAcentral. Lineage: Eukaryota; Metazoa; Chordata; Mammalia; Primates; Hominidae.
CCCAGACAGGCCUAAUUCCUGGAUGGGCUAGAAGCAUAAGCCACUGUACCCUCCCAGGAUUAGAAUGGGGAAGGCUGUCCACUCCACCUCAACUGAGAGGGGGCUGGGCGCCUUCUUUCUAUCCCCUCCCACCAUCCUCUUGGGAGCUUGCAGGGUGGGGAGCAUCAGGCCAUUUUGAACAGUCCAUCUCUGAAGGGGUGACAUUUACUGCUGGCUCCCAAGAGCGUGCACCAUGAAGCAAGCAGCUGCCCCCAUGGUCUCCAACCCUCACAGGCCCACAGCUGCACUUGGGGUUGCUAAAGACAAUGUGUCUCCUGGAACCCUUCCUCAGCAAUGUUCUCGCUGAACACCGAAAAUACAAUGAUCCACUCAGAGGGGCAGCUUGGAACUCUACAGACACCUGAAUUCACAGUGACACCAGCAGUACCGGUGUUUGCAGGUAUCUAGACAACAGAAGAGAUCGGCGGGACACCAGCCAGCAUCAAGCCACAGGUGGGCCUGUGAACACCAGGCCGGGCCGGCCUGUCUCCCUUUCAAAGGCAGUUCUCUUGCAUCUCACAUCCAUGUGGCCAAGUUGUUACUUUAAGUUCCACCUCCUCCAAGAAGCUUCCCCUGAUUACCUCCCCUUCCAAAUCCAGUGUGAACUGAGUGUGAACUAAAUCCAGGGCUCAGGCUUGCAGGUACAGGCUUGACAAGGGCUCAUCUUAUUCACCAGAAGCAGCAAUUAUGACUCGGACCUUUCCGGCUUGUAGUGAGUGCCAAGCACACAGGGGGUUGCUCUGAUGAUGAGGCAGCAACAGCAUAAAUAGGAACGGUGGUUUGGAAGACGCCCAUCCCCAUGACAGUGGGCCGGGCUGUGUACGCAGAAAGCCAUUCAAUCCCCGCAACGCCGCUGCCAGCUACUCCUUCCUUGCCUUCUCCCAGCCCUGACUGAAGUCUCCAGCAGCCCCGACGGCUCUCCCAGUCUUUUUCAGGUAAUAAAAAGGCCUAGCACACUUUACCCAAGACAGUGGUGAAUACAGAGAUAUUUUAAACUUCCUUUUAUGUAUC